UGCAGAGGUCUCAAGCGUUGUUCGGAUUCAUUGGGCGUAAAGGGUGCGUAGGCGGCGCGGUAAGUCGGGUGUGAAAUCUCGGGGCUUAACUCCGAAACUGCAUUCGAUACUGCCGUGCUUGAGGACUGGAGAGGAGACUGGAAUUUACGGUGUAGCGGUGAAAUGCGUAGAUAUCGUAAGGAAGACCAGUGGCGAAGGCGGGUCUCUGGACAGUUCCUGACGCUGAGGCACGAAGGUCAGGGGAGCAAACGGG
This 253-nucleotide ribosomal RNA is filed under the name uncultured bacterium. Its description in RNAcentral is "partial 16S ribosomal RNA". It matches the Rfam family "Bacterial small subunit ribosomal RNA", at positions 524 to 776 of the family's 1533-position model. The record is from RNAcentral.